Long non-coding RNA from Herpailurus yagouaroundi (jaguarundi), 257 nucleotides. RefSeq lists it as uncharacterized. The transcript is spliced from 2 exons. NCBI's taxonomy places the organism in Eukaryota, Metazoa, Chordata, Mammalia, Carnivora, Felidae. The record is from RefSeq and is a predicted model, not a curated record.
AGCCCUGGGAAGGAGCCCGCCCUGCCGACACCGACGUGGGGAGAGGACGGGUUUCUGCUCUUGGAGGACCUUCCCCCGGCCCUGCCCCAGGGGGCGGCACAGGUUACAGCGGCCCUAGGACAGGAAUCCUUGUCCCCAACAAGGCGAGGUGUCACCACGUGGAGAAUGGAGGAUUUCUGCACUGCUUGGCUCUUGUGCGAUGGGAACGAAUUCACUGAUUGCUCCUGAAAUAAAAAGCAACUUGCGUUUCUGCAAGA